This is a long non-coding RNA of Drosophila arizonae, 630 nucleotides long. The record is from RefSeq and is a predicted model, not a curated record. NCBI's taxonomy places the organism in Eukaryota, Metazoa, Arthropoda, Insecta, Diptera, Drosophilidae.
UAUAUAUGUGUUUUCAUAUAUAUACAGCACAUACCAGCUAUAUAACAAUUUACAUAUAAUCAAUGUAUUAUUCUAACGACUUCUUUCCAACACAAAUGCAAAUAACAUAUUUUUUUUACUUAGGCAUACCAAAAAUACAAAGAAAAUACCAAAAAAAAAAAAACAUGCAAAAAGUAAUGUAACCAAAGCUAAAUCUAUGUAAACAUAAUCUAAAUAGAAUCUAGGCGGUCAUAGGAGCGAAGCAAGCAAAAUGCUUUUCUAUUGCAAUUUUCAUACGAUUUCCCCCCUCCCAAGGAUGAGCAAACUCUUCGAAUUGCGCCCACGAUCGUGUGUAUAUAUAGACUAUAUCAUAUUUUGGCGGGGAGAGUCCAUUGAAAGCAUCGGCCUGUCGUGCUUGCAACCGUAUCUUAAAUUAUUUAAAUCAGUGUUUUUUUUUUUGUUUUAAUUAAAAACAUUUAAGAGAUAAACAUCUAUUUAUGUAUUUUAAUCAGUUUAAUUGUAUUGUAUUGUAUAACUAACUAAUAAUAUGUUAACUGAAUAUUGUAAAUACCAGAUAGAAAGAGAAGUGUAUGAAAUGAAAGACAGUGCGAGAACGAGCGACAGCGAAAGAGAAGUGUAUGAAAUGAAGGA